This 367-nucleotide ribosomal RNA is filed under the name uncultured prokaryote. RNAcentral describes it as "partial 16S ribosomal RNA". The record is from RNAcentral.
CCCUAUGGGGUGCAUCAACGGCGGCGGGCAGCCCAUUCAGAAAACCGGCUCUUCGUGGAUCGAUGCCGUCCGUCCCUGGUUUGCCUGGAAAUAACCAUCUAAAGGAGAAUAAUUAUGUCUGACCAAGAUUACAAAUAUAUAGAAAAUCCGCUUCAUGUAACACGAAGAGAGUUUAUUACCAUUACGGGAAUCGGAAACGCUUUUCUGGCCUUGCCCGCCAUAUGGAUCAAAUCUGUGGCGGCGUCAAACAAUGAUUAUAUCAAAGCGCGCACGAAGAAUCUUUACAUGGAUGAUGUUAAAUCCAAAAUUCGCGUCAGCCACGCGAAGAAGUCAGUAGCCCGGGACUAUAAGGAAUUGGCGGGAGGGC